RNAcentral lists this ribosomal RNA (255 nucleotides) under uncultured Pirellula sp. RNAcentral describes it as "partial 16S ribosomal RNA". It matches the Rfam family "Bacterial small subunit ribosomal RNA", at positions 249 to 502 of the family's 1533-position model. The record is from RNAcentral. Lineage: Bacteria; Pseudomonadati; Planctomycetota; Planctomycetia; Pirellulales; Pirellulaceae.
UUGGUAAGGCAACGGCUUACCAAGCCUCUGAUGGGUAGCGGGUGUGAGAGCACGACCCGCGUCAUUGGGACUGAGACACUGCCCAGACACCUACGGGUGGCUGCAGUCGAGGAUCUUCGGCAAUGGGCGCAAGCCUGACCGAGCGACGCCGCGUGUGGGAUGAAGGCCUAGAAGGUUGUAAACCACUGUCGUAGGGGAGGAAGGCCGGGUGAAGAGCCCGGUUUGACCUAGCCUAGGAGGAAGGGUGGGCUAAGU